RNAcentral lists this unclassified non-coding RNA (370 nucleotides) under plant metagenome. RNAcentral's name for it is "partial contains 5.8S ribosomal RNA, internal transcribed spacer 2, and large subunit ribosomal RNA". The stretch from base 1 to 105 matches the Rfam family "5.8S ribosomal RNA", at positions 50 to 154 of the family's 154-position model. The record is from RNAcentral.
GAAAUGCGAUAAGUAAUGUGAAUUGCAGAAUUCAGUGAAUCAUCGAAUCUUUGAACGCACCUUGCGCUCCUUGGUAUUCCUUGGAGCAUGCCUGUUUGAGUAUCAUGAAAUCUUCAAAGUAAAUCUUUUGUUAACUCAAUUGGUUUCUACUUUGGUAUUGGAGGUCUUUGCAGCUUCACACCUGCUCCUCUUUGUUCAUUAGCUGGAUCUCAGUGUUAUGCUUGGUUCCACUCGGCGUGAUAAGUUAUCUAUCGCUGAGGACACUGUAAAAGGUGGCCAAGGUAAAUGCAGAUGAACCGCUUCUAAUAGUCCAUUGACUUGGACAAUACUUUUAUGAUCUGAUCUCAAAUCAGGUAGGACUACCCGCUGA